GGAGAGGUAAGCCUAAUGGUAAGGCAGCGGUUUGCUAAACCGUCAGUAGCCCGCAAGGGUGCGGGAGUUCGAGUCUCCCUCUCUCCGCCA
This 90-nucleotide transfer RNA is filed under the name Lachnospiraceae bacterium. Its description in RNAcentral is "tRNA-Ser". It matches the Rfam family "tRNA". From Rfam's summary of the family: Transfer RNA (tRNA) molecules are approximately 80 nucleotides in length. Their secondary structure includes four short double-helical elements and three loops (D, anti-codon, and T loops). Lineage: Bacteria; Bacillati; Bacillota; Clostridia; Lachnospirales; Lachnospiraceae. The record is from RNAcentral.